This 1077-nucleotide long non-coding RNA is filed under the name Vitis vinifera (wine grape). RNAcentral's name for it is "long non-coding RNA (VVIN_LNC001065)". The record is from RNAcentral. Lineage: Eukaryota; Viridiplantae; Streptophyta; Magnoliopsida; Vitales; Vitaceae.
AUUCCAUUAUUUGGAAUCAUGAAGUUUAUUCAUGCUUGAGAAAAUCAAGAAAAUCAAGAAAAUGGUUGAAAAUCAAAGAAAAUAGUGAAAACCUGUGCCGGAAGGAAAACGGCAGCAAGAGUGUGUUAGAAUAUAGAUUUUAUGCCUAAAAAAAGAUCUAAAGAUGGAUUUUUCAAAGCUGGGGAUGUUUAGUUGAAAGAUGGUUCAAAACUUCAAUUUAAAACAGUAAAUUCUCAAUCAAAGAGGUAAGUAAGGGAGAAGGUGUAUGUAGCAAGGUAACCAUGAUGGAGGGGAGUUGGGAGGUUUGGCUGUGACCGCAUUACUGGUGAUUGCAGGUGUUGCUGUUAUUUUCUCUAAAUUUUCCCUUUCUACUCUGGUUGCAUGCAUUCAAGCACCAUACACCGCUGCAUUCCGGGCCUUUUCUGAUUCUUUGAAAUUCCCUAUAUGCGGACUUACUUCCAAGAGCUUUGGCAUUAAUUCCCCAUAUGAAUCUCUGAAAUUUGCUGAGAAAUUUAGUCUUUCUGGACUGCCAUUUCUGAUAACUAGAGCACUUCAUAUUCAUCUACCAAAAUAACCACCAUUUUGCCAACCGAUUUUAAUAUUGGAGAGAGUAGAAGCUGAAGCUUUUUGGUCUUCUGUGGUCAGAAGAAGGAUGCCUGCAUUUCAGGAAUACAACUUUAAACAAUUCCUAAUAAGACAUUCUUGUACCAGCCACUGUAUCAUUUUUUGAUAUCUUCUUUCCCCAUAUUUCUGAAUUUAAAUUCUGGGAUCCCAUGCGAAGUUUCAUUGGAUACGAAUAUUUCUGACAGGUAGCCUAACUCCGACAUGUAAUAACUUUGAUGAAUUCUGGGUUCGCAUCUGGUGUGGAAAUGUAUAGAAGAAAGAAUCUCUUAUAUUAACAUCUAGAUUCUGUUUCUAUUGUCAACUUGCUCGUAGUUAAAUUUCUUCAAUUGAAUACUCGCAUCCUGAUUGAUAUUCUGAUGUUCGAUUUCCCGAGUAACUUUUCAUUCUUCAAGCAUAUCAAAUUGCCUAUGGUCAGAAAUUAACCUUCAGUCAAUAAGAUUCAGCAAUUUCUUU